GGCCUCCUGGUGACUUUCUUUGGGCUGGGUUUUCUUUGUACUGUCUGUAUAGAAAGAGAAGGCAGAGAAACCCUUCCCUUCACCUCUACUUGAUCUGUAUUGGUUUCAGGAACACAGGUUUAAGAAAGGGAGAGGGAAUAAAAUA
This 145-nucleotide small nucleolar RNA is filed under the name Vulpes vulpes (red fox). Its description in RNAcentral is "Small nucleolar RNA SNORA51 (ENSVVUG00000001179.1)". The record is from RNAcentral. Lineage: Eukaryota; Metazoa; Chordata; Mammalia; Carnivora; Canidae. RNAcentral also lists the same sequence under 1 other name.